GCCUGGGUGGCUCAAUCGGUUGAGCAUCUGAUUUCAGCUCAGGUCAUGAUCUCGCAGUUUGCGAGUUUGAGCCCCGCAUGAGGCU
This 85-nucleotide transfer RNA is filed under the name Felis catus (domestic cat). It matches the Rfam family "tRNA". Rfam says of the family: Transfer RNA (tRNA) molecules are approximately 80 nucleotides in length. Their secondary structure includes four short double-helical elements and three loops (D, anti-codon, and T loops). Further hydrogen bonds mediate the characteristic L-shaped molecular structure. tRNAs have two regions of fundamental functional importance: the anti-codon, which is responsible for specific mRNA codon recognition, and the 3' end, to which the tRNAs corresponding amino acid is attached (by aminoacyl-tRNA synthetases). tRNAs cope with the degeneracy of the genetic code in two manners: having more than one tRNA (with a specific anti-codon) for a particular amino acid; and 'wobble' base-pairing, i.e. permitting non-standard base-pairing at the 3rd anti-codon position. Lineage: Eukaryota; Metazoa; Chordata; Mammalia; Carnivora; Felidae. RNAcentral also lists the same sequence under 1 other name. The record is from Rfam by way of RNAcentral.